UCCCUGGUAGCUCAGUGAUAAAGAGUCUGCCUGCCAAUGCAGAAGACACAGGUUCGAACCCUGACUGGGAAG
RNAcentral lists this transfer RNA (72 nucleotides) under Bos taurus (domestic cattle). It matches the Rfam family "tRNA". From Rfam's summary of the family: Transfer RNA (tRNA) molecules are approximately 80 nucleotides in length. Their secondary structure includes four short double-helical elements and three loops (D, anti-codon, and T loops). Further hydrogen bonds mediate the characteristic L-shaped molecular structure. tRNAs have two regions of fundamental functional importance: the anti-codon, which is responsible for specific mRNA codon recognition, and the 3' end, to which the tRNAs corresponding amino acid is attached (by aminoacyl-tRNA synthetases). tRNAs cope with the degeneracy of the genetic code in two manners: having more than one tRNA (with a specific anti-codon) for a particular amino acid; and 'wobble' base-pairing, i.e. permitting non-standard base-pairing at the 3rd anti-codon position. Lineage: Eukaryota; Metazoa; Chordata; Mammalia; Artiodactyla; Bovidae. The record is from Rfam by way of RNAcentral. RNAcentral also lists the same sequence under 3 other names.